This is a small nucleolar RNA of Amaranthus tricolor (Joseph's coat), 91 nucleotides long. RefSeq annotates it as small nucleolar RNA R64/Z200 family. NCBI's taxonomy places the organism in Eukaryota, Viridiplantae, Streptophyta, Magnoliopsida, Caryophyllales, Amaranthaceae. The record is from RefSeq and is a predicted model, not a curated record. The transcript has a single exon.
GUUAUACUGUGAUGAAUAAUGGAAUAAUUUCACAUGUCAGACUUCAGAGGUUUUAACCUAUGAGAUUAAAAUCCUUAAUUCUGAGUAGAAA